CGAUGAAGCCCACUUGUGGGUGGAUUAGUGGCGAACGGGUGAGUAACACGUGAGUAACCUGCCCUUGACUCUGGGAUAAGCCUGGGAAACUGGGUCUAAUACCGGAUAUGACUGAUCAUCGCAUGGUGGUUGGUGGAAAGCUUUUUGUGGUUUUGGAUGGACUCGCGGCCUAUCAGCUUGUUGGUGAGGUAAUGGCUUACCAAGGCGACGACGGGUAGCCGGCCUGAGAGGGUGACCGGCCACACUGGGACUGAGACACGGCCCAGACUCCUACGGGAGGCAGCAGUGGGGAAUAUUGCACAAUGGGCGCAAGCCUGAUGCAGCGACGCCGCGUGAGGGAUGACGGCCUUCGGGUUGUAAACCUCUUUCAGUAGGGAAGAAGCCUUUCGGGGUGACGGUACCUGCAGAAGAAGCGCCGGCUAACUACGUGCCAGCAGCCGCGGUAAUACGUAGGGCGCAAGCGUUAUCCGGAAUUAUUGGGCGUAAAGAGCUCGUAGGCGGUUUGUCGCGUCUGCCGUGAAAGUCCGGGGCUCAACUCCGGAUCUGCGGUGGGUACGGGCAGACUAGAGUGAUGUAGGGGAGACUGGAAUUCCUGGUGUAGCGGUGAAAUGCGCAGAUAUCAGGAGGAACACCGAUGGCGAAGGCAGGUCUCUGGGCAUUAACUGACGCUGAGGAGCGAAAGCAUGGGGAGCGAACAGGAUUAGAUACCCUGGUAGUCCAUGCCGUAAACGUUGGGCACUAGGUGUGGGGGACAUUCCACGUUUUCCGCGCCGUAGCUAACGCAUUAAGUGCCCCGCCUGGGGAGUAC
This 808-nucleotide ribosomal RNA is filed under the name Pseudarthrobacter sp. Its description in RNAcentral is "bacterial SSU rRNA". It matches the Rfam family "Bacterial small subunit ribosomal RNA", at positions 67 to 883 of the family's 1533-position model. Lineage: Bacteria; Bacillati; Actinomycetota; Actinomycetes; Micrococcales; Micrococcaceae. The record is from RNAcentral.